RNAcentral lists this ribosomal RNA (235 nucleotides) under uncultured bacterium. RNAcentral's name for it is "partial 16S ribosomal RNA". It matches the Rfam family "Bacterial small subunit ribosomal RNA", at positions 96 to 334 of the family's 1533-position model. The record is from RNAcentral.
UGGCGGACGGGUGAGUAAUGUCUGGGAAACUGCCCGAUGGAGGGGGAUAACUACUGGAAACGGUAGCUAAUACCGCAUAACGUCGCAAGACCAAAGAGGGGGACCUUCGGGCCUCUUGCCAUCGGAUGUGCCCAGAUGGGAUUAGCUAGUAGGUGGGGUAACGGCUCACCUAGGCGACGAUCCCUAGCUGGUCUGAGGGGAUGACCAGCCACACUGGAACUGAGACACGGUCCAG